This 433-nucleotide ribosomal RNA is filed under the name uncultured bacterium. Its description in RNAcentral is "partial 16S ribosomal RNA". It matches the Rfam family "Bacterial small subunit ribosomal RNA", at positions 29 to 507 of the family's 1533-position model. The record is from RNAcentral.
AACGAACGCUGGCGGCAUGCCUAACACAUGCAAGUCGAACGAGACCUUCGGGUCUAGUGGCGCACGGGUGCGUAACGCGUGGGAACCUGCCCUUAGGUUCGGAAUAACUCCCCGAAAGGGGUGCUAAUACCGGUUAAUGUCUUCGGACCAAAGAUUUAUCGCCUUUGGAUGGGCCCGCGUUGGAUUAGCUAGUUGGUAGUGUAAAAGCCUGCCAAGGCGACGUUCCAUAGCUGGUCUGAGAGGAUGAUCAGCCACACUGGGACUGAGACACGGACCAGACUCCUACGGGAGGCAGCAGUGGGGAAUAUUAGACAAUGGGCGAAAGCCUGAUCCAGCAAUGCCGCGUGAGUGAUGAAGGCCUUAGGGUUGUAAAGCUCUUUUACCCGGGAUGAUAAUGACAGUACCGGGAGAAUAAGCUCCGGCUAACUCCGUG